RNAcentral lists this small RNA (288 nucleotides) under Vigna angularis var. angularis. RNAcentral's name for it is "Non-protein coding transcript". The record is from RNAcentral. Lineage: Eukaryota; Viridiplantae; Streptophyta; Magnoliopsida; Fabales; Fabaceae.
CGCCACCACCACCUCCACCGCCACCCCUUCCGGCAAAAAACCCCUCUGGGACUCUGGCAGCAAAUGCAAGGUCGAGAACGAACAAAGCAAUGAAAGCAACCCCCAAGACCUUGGAGCUUGCCAUGAUCAGCUUAUCAACUUUUGUGAAUGGUGAAAAUGAGAAAUGUGAUGGUUUAUUCUGAUUGGAACGUAAGGAGUUUGAGGCACGAAAAGGGUAUAUAUAGAGUUUGCAAUGUAGAAAAAAGAGGAUUCCUUAUAGUGCUGCCGCCAUUGCACUUCCACUCCCAC